GAGCCGGGGUUCGAACCACAUUUCCAUUUUUUUAUAACUGGGGAUAACAAUGCCAUGUUAACGAGCCUUAAUGACAUUGGGGUCUUUAAGGUCCCUGAAAGUGGCUAUAUGA
Molecule: small nucleolar RNA, 112 nt
Filed under: Erinaceus europaeus (western European hedgehog)
Lineage: Eukaryota; Metazoa; Chordata; Mammalia; Eulipotyphla; Erinaceidae
Description: Small nucleolar RNA SNORA33 (ENSEEUG00000018562.1)
Source: RNAcentral